RNAcentral lists this ribosomal RNA (460 nucleotides) under uncultured bacterium. Its description in RNAcentral is "partial 16S ribosomal RNA". It matches the Rfam family "Bacterial small subunit ribosomal RNA", at positions 338 to 795 of the family's 1533-position model. The record is from RNAcentral.
CCUACGGGGUGCAGCAGUGAGGAAUAUUGGUCAAUGGCCGUAAGGCUGAACCAGCCAAGUCGCGUGAAGGAAGAAGGAUCUAUGGUUUGUAAACUUCUUUUAUAGGGGAAUAAAGGUAUCCACGUGUGGAUAUGUGCAUGUACCCUAUGCAUAAGCAUAGGCUAACUCCGUGCCAGCAGCCGCGGUAAUACGGAGGAUGCGAGCGUUAUCCGGAUUGAUUGGGUUUAAAGGGUGCGUAGGUUGUUUUUUAAGUCAGGGGUGAAAGUUUGUGGCUCAACCAUAAAAUUGCCGUUGAAACUGGUAGAGUUGAGUGUGUUUGAGGUAGGCGGAAUGCGUGGUGUAGCAGUGAAAUGCAUAGAUAUCACGAAGAACUCCGAUUGCGAAGGCAGCUUACUAAGACAUAACUGACACUGAAGCACGAAAGCGUGGGGAUCAAACAGGAUUAGAUACCCCUGUAGUC